CCAAUAGCGUAUAUUAAAGUUGUUGCAGUUAAAAAGCUCGUAGUUGAAUUUCGGGGUCAGUAGGUUGGUCAUGCCUUCGGUAUGUACUGGUCUCACUGAUUCCUCCCUCUUGAAGAUCCGUAAUGUCAUUAAUUUGGUGUUUCGGGGAAUCAGGACUGUUACUUUGAAAAAAUUAGAGUGUUUAAAGCAGGCUUUGGCUUGAAUACAUUAGCAUGGAAUAAUGAAAUAGGACGUUUGAUCCUAUUUUGUUGGUUUCUAGGAUUGACGUAAUGAUUAAUAGGGAUAGUUGGGGGCAUUAGUAUUCAAUUGUCAGAGGUGAAAUUCUUUGAUUUAUUGAAGACUAACUACUGCGAAAGCAUUUGCCAAGGAUGUUUUCAUUAAUCAAGAACGAAAGUUAGGGGAUCGAAGACGAUCAGAUACCGUCGUAGUCUUAACCAUAAACUAUGCCGACUAGGGAUCGGAUGAUGUUAAUUUUUUAAUGACUCAUUCGGCGCCUUACG
Molecule: ribosomal RNA, 500 nt
Filed under: uncultured Glomeromycotina
Lineage: Eukaryota; Fungi; Glomeromycota
Description: partial small subunit ribosomal RNA
Rfam family: Eukaryotic small subunit ribosomal RNA
Source: RNAcentral